GAUGAACGCUAGCUACAGGCUUAACACAUGCAAGUCGAGGGGAAACGAUAGAGAAAGCUUGCUUUUUCUAGGCGUCGACCGGCGCACGGGUGAGUAACGCGUAUCCAACCUGCCCAUCACUUGGGGAUAACCUUGCGAAAGUAAGACUAAUACCCAAUGACGUCUCUAGAAGACAUCUGAAAGAGAUUAAAGAUUUAUCGGUGAUGGAUGGGGAUGCGUCUGAUUAGCUUGUUGGCGGGGUAACGGCCCACCAAGGCGACGAUCAGUAGGGGUUCUGAGAGGAAGGUCCCCCACAUUGGAAAUGAGACACGGUCCAAACUCCUACGGGAGGCAGCAGUGAGGAAUAUUGGUCAAUGGGCGAGAGCCUGAACCAGCCAAGUAGCGUGCAGGAUGACGGCCCUAUGGGUUGUAAACUGCUUUUAUAAGGGAAUAAAGUGAGUCUCGUGAGACUUUUUGCAUGUACCUUACGAAUAAGGACCGGCUAAUUCCGUGCCAGCAGCCGCCGUAA
This 508-nucleotide ribosomal RNA is filed under the name uncultured bacterium. RNAcentral's name for it is "partial 16S ribosomal RNA". It matches the Rfam family "Bacterial small subunit ribosomal RNA", at positions 28 to 523 of the family's 1533-position model. The record is from RNAcentral.